GAUGAAGAACGUAGCGAAAUGCGAUAAGUAAUGUGAAUUGCAGAAUUCAGUGAAUCAUCGAAUCUUUGAACGCACAUUGCGCCCCUUGGUAUUCCGAGGGGCAUGCCUGUUCGAGCGUCAUUAUAACCCCUCAAGCUCAGCUUGGUGUUGGGGCCUGCUGCAUUGGCAGCCCUUAAAAUCAGUGGCGGCGCCAUCUGGCUCUAAGCGUAGUAAUUCUUCUCGCUAUGGAGUCCUGGUGGAUGCUUGCCAUCAACCCCCAAUUUUUCUAUGGUUGACCUCGGAUCAGGUAGGGAUACCCGCUGAACUUAAGCAUAUCAAUAAGCGGAGGA
Molecule: unclassified non-coding RNA, 329 nt
Filed under: soil metagenome
Description: partial contains 5.8S ribosomal RNA, internal transcribed spacer 2, and large subunit ribosomal RNA
Rfam family: 5.8S ribosomal RNA (bases 1-120)
Source: RNAcentral